This 373-nucleotide ribosomal RNA is filed under the name uncultured bacterium. RNAcentral's name for it is "bacterial SSU rRNA". It matches the Rfam family "Bacterial small subunit ribosomal RNA", at positions 527 to 896 of the family's 1533-position model. The record is from RNAcentral.
GGAGGGGGCGAGCGUUGUCCGGAUUUAUUGGGCGUAAAGCGCGCGUAGGCGGCUCGGAAAGUCGGGUGUGAAAAUCCGGGGCUCAACCCCGGGCUUGCAUCCGAUACUCCCGGGCUGGAGGCAGACAGGGGAGAGCGGAAUUCCUGGUGUAGCGGUGAAAUGCGCAGAUAUCAGGAGGAACACCGGUGGCGAAGGCGGCUCUCUGGGUCUGUCCUGACGCUCAGGCGCGAAAGCUAGGGGAGCAAACAGGAUUAGAUACCCUGGUAGUCCUAGCCGUAAACGUUGGGUGCUAGGUGUGGGGCGGCGUUUGACCCGCUCUGUGCCGAAGCUAACGCAUUAAGCACCCCGCCUGGGGAGUACGGCCGCAAGGCUA